This is a long non-coding RNA of Megalobrama amblycephala (Wuchang bream), 170 nucleotides long. RefSeq lists it as uncharacterized. The record is from RefSeq and is a predicted model, not a curated record. Lineage: Eukaryota; Metazoa; Chordata; Actinopteri; Cypriniformes; Xenocyprididae. The transcript has 2 exons.
GGGUCACACUCACACACAGCAUGUGUCUGUAUAGCGUUCAGGAGCGCCGUGGAUACGUGAAGCGGCGCAUGAUUGACAUCCAGAGACCACGCCCACAUGCAGCUGCUCAUGGCCUGUUUUCCAGUGAUGUCCUGUCUGAAUUCAGUAAUAAAGGGUAAAGAUAGUGCCAA